GAGUGCGUAAUAGCUCACUGGUCGAGUGACUCUGCGCCGAAAAUUUAACGGGGCUAAACUAUACACCGAAGCUUGGGAUACAUCUAAUGUAUGGUAGGAGAGCGUUCUGUAUGGGGAGAAGUCGUAGCGAAAGCGGCGGUGGACUAUACAGAAGUGAGAAUGCCGGAAUAAGUAGCGAGAAUUAAGUGAGAAUCUUAAUGGCCGAAAGUCUAAGGUUUUUGGAGGAAGGUUCGUCCGCUCCAAGUAAGUCGGGAGCUAAGGUCAGGCCGAAAGGCGUAGCCGAUGCACAUACGGUUGAUAUUCCGUAACCAUCUGUAAUUUAAGCAAAGGGACACUUCAAAAGGGUGUGACCCGGGCGUUGGUUGACCCGGGCGUAAGGGACCGAAAUUAGAGUAGGGAAGCACACUUAGCUGAAGGCGAGAAAAGCUUUGCGUAUAGAAACAGAUGCCCGUACCGCAAACCGACACAGGUGGACAGGAAGAGAAUUCUAAGGCCAGCGGGAGAAGGGUAGUUAAGGAACUCGGCAAAUUGACUCCGUAACUUCGGAAUAAGGAGUGCUCGAAAGAGCCGCAGAGAAUAGGCCCAGGCGACUGUUUAGCAAAAACACAGGUCUCUGCCAAAUCGAAAGAUGAAGUAUAGGGGCUGACACCUGCCCGGUGCCGGAAGGUUAAGAGGAGGAGUGAGAGCUCCGAAUUGAAGCCCCGGUAAACGGCGGCCGUAACUAUAACGGUCCUAAGGUAGCGAAAUUCCUUGUCGGGUAAGUUCCGACCCGCACGAAUGGUGUAACGAUCUGGGCACUGUCUCAACUACCCACCCGGCGAAAUUGUAGUACCGGUGAAGAUGCCGGUUACCUGCGGCAAGACGGAAAGACCCCAUGGAGCUUUACUGUAGCCUGAUAUUGGGUUUCGGAAAUCUAUGUACAGGAUAGGCGGGAGACUGGGAAACAUGAGCGUCAGCUUGUGUGGAGUCGAUGUUGGGAUACCGCCCUUAGGUUUCUGGAAUUCUAACCUGCGGCCGUGAAUCCGGUCGGGGGACAUUGUCAGGUGGGCAGUUUGACUGGGGCGGUCGCCUCCGAAAAGGUAACGGAGGCGCUCAAAGGUUAGCUCAGCACGGACGGAAACCGUGCCUCUGAGUGUAAACGCAAAAGCUAGCCUAACUGCGAGGGUGACGGCCCGAGCAGUAACGAAAGUUGGAGUUAGUGAUCCGGCGG
This 1210-nucleotide ribosomal RNA is filed under the name human gut metagenome. RNAcentral's name for it is "bacterial LSU rRNA". It matches the Rfam family "Bacterial large subunit ribosomal RNA", at positions 1128 to 2426 of the family's 2925-position model. The record is from RNAcentral.